RNAcentral lists this transfer RNA (77 nucleotides) under Methylobacterium gnaphalii. RNAcentral describes it as "tRNA-Gly". The record is from RNAcentral. Lineage: Bacteria; Pseudomonadati; Pseudomonadota; Alphaproteobacteria; Hyphomicrobiales; Methylobacteriaceae.
GAAUCGAUCAGGCCGCCGGCUGGGUCCGUCGCCUUGCCACGGCCGCCAUCGGUGCCGUCCGUGUCGGCAGCGAUUCC